This 239-nucleotide ribosomal RNA is filed under the name uncultured bacterium. Its description in RNAcentral is "partial 16S ribosomal RNA". It matches the Rfam family "Bacterial small subunit ribosomal RNA", at positions 95 to 334 of the family's 1533-position model. The record is from RNAcentral.
CCGGCGCACGGGUGAGUAACGCGUAUCCAACCUGCCUUACACUCUUGGACAGCCUUCUGAAAGGAAGAUUAAUACAAGAUGGCAUCAUGAGUCCACAUGUUCACAUGGUUAAAGGUAUUCCGGUAGACGAUGGGGAUGCGUUCCAUUAGAUAGUAGGCGGGGUAACGGCCCACCUAGUCUUCGAUGGAUAGGGGUUCUGAGAGGAAGGUCCCCCACAUUGGAACUGAGACACGGUCCAA